ACUCCUACGGGAGGCAGCAGUGGGGAAUAUUGCACAAUGGGGGAAACCCUGAUGCAGCCAUGCCGCGUGUGUGAAGAAGGCCUUCGGGUUGUAAAGCACUUUCAGUUGUGAGGAAAGGUAAGUAUUUAAUAAAUGCUUACUGUGACGUUAGCAACAGAAGAAGCACCGGCUAACUUCGUGCCAGCAGCCGCGGUAAUACGAGGGGUGCAAGCGUUAAUCGGAAUUACUGGGCGUAAAGCGUUCGUAGGCGGUUUGUUAAGCAAGAUGUGAAAGCCCUGGGCUCAACCUGGGAACUGCAUUUUGAACUGGCAAACUAGAAUACUGUAGAGGGUGGUGGAAUUUCCAGUGUAGCGGUGAAAUGCGUAGAGAUUGGAAGGAACAUCAGUGGCGAAGGCGGCCACCUGGACAGAUAUUGACGCUGAGGAACGAAAGCGUGGGGAGCGAACAGGAUUAGAUACCCUGGUAGUCCACGCCGUAAACGAUGUCAACUAGCCGUUUGUGGACUUGAUCCGUGAGUGGCGCAGCUAACGCACUAAGUUGACCGCCUGGGGAGUACGGCCGCAAGGUUAAAACUCAAAUGAAUUCACGGGGGCCCGCACAAGCGGCGGAGCAUGUGGUUUAAUUCGAUGCAACGCGAAGAACCUUACCAUCCCUUGACAUCCACAGAAGAGACCAGAGAUGGACUUGUGCCUUCGGGAACUGUGUGACAGGUGCUGCAUGGCUGUCGUCAGCUCGUGUUGUGAAAUGUUGGGUUAAGUCCCGCAACGAGCGCAACCCCUAUCCUUAUUUGCCAGCGCGUAAUGGCGGGAACUCUAAGGAGACUGCCGGUGAUAAACCGGAGGAAGGUGGGGACGACGUCAGUCAUCAUGGCCCUUACGGGAUGGGCUAC
RNAcentral lists this ribosomal RNA (889 nucleotides) under uncultured Gammaproteobacteria bacterium. RNAcentral's name for it is "bacterial SSU rRNA". It matches the Rfam family "Bacterial small subunit ribosomal RNA", at positions 335 to 1217 of the family's 1533-position model. Lineage: Bacteria; Pseudomonadati; Pseudomonadota; Gammaproteobacteria. The record is from RNAcentral.